This 253-nucleotide ribosomal RNA is filed under the name uncultured bacterium. Its description in RNAcentral is "partial 16S ribosomal RNA". It matches the Rfam family "Bacterial small subunit ribosomal RNA", at positions 524 to 776 of the family's 1533-position model. The record is from RNAcentral.
UACGGAGGGGGCUAGCGUUGUUCGGAAUUACUGGGCGUAAAGCGUACGUAGGCGGCUUUGUAAGUUAGAGGUGAAAGCCCGGGGCUCAACUCCGGAAUUGCCUUUAAGACUGCAUCGCUUGAAUCAUGGAGAGGUGAGUGGAAUUCCGGGUGUAGCGGUGGAAUGCGUAGAGAUCCGGAAGAACACCGGUGGCGAAGGCGGUGAGCUGGGCAGUAGCUGACACUGAGGCGCGACAGCGUGGGGAGCAAACAGG